AGCGAACGCUGGCGGCAUGCCUAACACAUGCAAGUCGCACGGGGGGGCUUCGGCCUCCCAGUGGCGGACGGGUGAGGAACGCGUAGGGACCUGUCGAGGGGUGGGGGAUAACCGCGGGAAACUGCGGCUAAUACCGCAUGACGCCGCGGCGUGACAGCCGGGGCCAAAGGCGAAAGCCGCCCGCCGAGGGGCCUGCGUCCGAUUAGCUGGUUGGCGGGGUAGCGGCCCACCAAGGCGUCGAUCGGUAGCUGGUCUGAGAGGGUGGUCAGCCACACCGGGACUGAGACACGGCCCGGACUCCUACGGGAGGCAGCAGUGGGGAAUAUUGGACAAUGGGCGCAAGCCUGAUCCAGCAAUGCCGCGUGGGUGAAGAAGGUCUUCGGAUUGUAAAGCCCUUUCGGCGGGGACGAUGGUGACGGUACCCGCAGAAGAAGCCCCGGCUAACUUCGUG
This 451-nucleotide ribosomal RNA is filed under the name uncultured bacterium. RNAcentral's name for it is "partial 16S ribosomal RNA". It matches the Rfam family "Bacterial small subunit ribosomal RNA", at positions 28 to 507 of the family's 1533-position model. The record is from RNAcentral.